UAGUCCACACCGUAAACGAUGAAUGCCAGUCGUCGGGUAGUAUACUAUUCGGUGACACACCUAACGGAUUAAGCAUUCCGCCUGGGGAGUACGGUCGCAAGAUUAAAAACUCAAAGGGAAUUGACGGGGGCCCGCACAAGCGGUGGAGCAUGUGGUUAAUUCGAAGCAACGCGAAGAACCUUACCAGCUCUUGACAUACCAAUCGCGGAAUCUAGAGAUAGAUUCCUUCAGCUCGGCUGGAUUGGAUACAGGUGCUGCAUGGCUGUCGUCAGCUCGUGUCGUGAGAUGUUCGGUUAAGUCCGGCAACGAGCGCAAACCCACGUCCUUAGUUACCAGCAUUUAGUUGGGUACCCUAGGGAGACCGCCGGUGACUAAGCCGGAGGAAGGUGUGGACGACGUCAAAUCAUCACGGCCCUACGUCCUGGCUACACACGUGCUACAAUGGCCGGUACAGAGAGCAGCCACUACGCGAGUAGGAGCGAAUCUACAAAACCGGUCUCAGUUCGGAUCACG
Molecule: ribosomal RNA, 513 nt
Filed under: uncultured bacterium
Lineage: Bacteria
Description: bacterial SSU rRNA
Rfam family: Bacterial small subunit ribosomal RNA
Source: RNAcentral